ACCUUCACACCACUGCUUAAU
RNAcentral lists this microRNA (21 nucleotides) under Strongyloides ratti. RNAcentral's name for it is "str-miR-252b-3p". Its record names the gene str-miR-252b-3p. Lineage: Eukaryota; Metazoa; Nematoda; Chromadorea; Rhabditida; Strongyloididae. The record is from miRBase by way of RNAcentral.